AUGAAGCUGGAGGUGUCGCCGAGGCAGAGGACCCAAGAAGCAGAGCAGAACGAGGGCCUUGAGGCAUGGAAGCACCCGAAGCAGCUCUGCGCUAGUCUGGACUACGGGGAGGAGGAGGAGGAGGAGGUGACACGGAUGGUGCCGCCGCUCAACUUCGGCAUGGUGGACGACGGCGUCUUCCGGUCGGGGUUCCCCGACGCGGCCAACUUCCGGUUCCUCGCGUCCCUCAACCUGCGCUCCGUCGUGUACCUGUGCCCGGAGCCGUACCCGGAGCAGAACGCGCGGUUCCUGGGGCGCAGCGAGAUCAAGCUCCACCACUUCGGAAUCCAGGGCCGCAAGGAACCGUUUGUCGGCAUCCCCGAAGAAAUGAUCCGCGAGGCGCUCAAAGUCAUCCUUGACGUAAGAAACCACCCGGUGCUCAUCCACUGCAAGAGAGGCAAGCACCGUACCGGCUGCGUGGUGGGCUGCCUGAGGAAGCUGCAGAAGUGGCGCCUGUCCUCCGUCUUCGACGAGUAUCUGCACUUCGCGGCGGCCAAGGCGAGGAAAACCGACCAGAGGUUCAUGGAGCUCUUUGACACGUCAAGCUUGGUGCAUCUCUUGGCCUCACAGUGUUGA
Molecule: ribosomal RNA, 615 nt
Filed under: Triticum aestivum (bread wheat)
Lineage: Eukaryota; Viridiplantae; Streptophyta; Magnoliopsida; Poales; Poaceae
Description: partial small subunit ribosomal RNA
Source: RNAcentral